Capsicum annuum is the source of this 788-nucleotide RNA transcript. RefSeq lists it as uncharacterized. The transcript has 5 exons. NCBI's taxonomy places the organism in Eukaryota, Viridiplantae, Streptophyta, Magnoliopsida, Solanales, Solanaceae. The record is from RefSeq and is a predicted model, not a curated record.
AGGGUAUCCUAAAAACAUUUCUCAUUUUCCAUCCUUUCUAUAUGAGAGUUGAUGUCGCCGCCUAUCAUUUACAACAUCCAUCUUCAGCUCUAGUUGUUGAUUCCUUUCGAUUGAAGCUGUAUCUGAGCUCUUAUAUCCACUUGCAAAAGUGAAAUCUUCGAUGGUUGGAAUAGCAAAACUCAUGUUUAAUCACCUUGAAGGUCCUAGUAGCCUGGAUCUGGUUGUGUACCCCAAGUGGCAGCUAUCUUGUCAGUUCUCUUCUGAUCUUGUAGCAGACUUAAAGCCAUCGGCCAGCUGCUGAUUUAAUUAUGUCAAUUUGCUUUGGUGACAAACCUCCCUCAAUGGCCAUUCUUUCAAUAUUGUCAUCUAAAUCUCCCUUAUCCAAGGAUUCUUUGUCCUUGUUUGCCAAGUCCAUCUAGUGAUUAGCCUGUAUAGCCAAUGUGUGAAGGAAAGUUCAAGUUCUUGAAGAGUUCAAAUUAGAAGGAUAAGUUACAGAAAAUUGAGGCAUAGGUGCUUCAGAUAAUACACAUGCUCAGCAGGAGCCCAGGAUAUCCAGCUAUUUGUGAGCUCCAGAUUGAUUUGGGGCUGUCCGAGUCUAUUUUAUAUAUUUUGGUAUAAGUUAGAGUAUGGCGUGGGUUUGUCCCGAUCUUAACUAAGUGUCUAUGUUUAUUUUAGAGGCUUUGUAGACCAAUGUAAAGUUAAGCAUGAUAGUGUCUUAUCUUUUAGAUGUUAUGGCCCCAACGGCCAAGUCUGGUAUCUAUAGUUUUGGGCUUGUCAUUUAUUUCUCA